AUUGAACGCUGGCGGCAGGCCUAACACAUGCAAGUCGAGCGGAUGAAGGGUGCUUGUUCCUGGUUUCAGCGGCGGACGGGUGUGUAAUGCCCAGGAAUCUGCCUCGUUGUGGGGGAUAAUGUCCGCAAACGGCUGCUGAUAAUGCAUACGACCUGCGCGUGAAACAGGGGGAUCUUUGGAAAUUUUGCUAUCAGAUGGGUCUAGGUGGGAUUGGCUAGUUUGUGGGGUAAGGGCCUACUUAGGCGACGAUUCGUAACUGGUCGGAGUGGAUGAUCAGCCGCACUGGAACGUGACCACGGUCCUGGCUCCUACGGUACGGAGCAGUGGGGUAUGGUGGACAGUGGGGGGAAACAUGGCCCAGCCAUGCCGCGUGUGUGAAGAAGGUCUUCGGAGUGUGAAGCACUUUAAGUUGGGAGGAAGGGCAGUAGGUUAAUACCUUGCUGUUUUGACGGUACCAGCAGAAUAAGCACCGGCUAACUACGUG
RNAcentral lists this ribosomal RNA (484 nucleotides) under uncultured bacterium. RNAcentral describes it as "partial 16S ribosomal RNA". It matches the Rfam family "Bacterial small subunit ribosomal RNA", at positions 30 to 507 of the family's 1533-position model. The record is from RNAcentral.